AUUGAACGCUGGCGGCACGCCUAACACAUGCAAGUCGAGCGGUAACAUGGUUUGUAGCAAUACAAACUGAUGACGAGCGGCGGACGGGUGAGGAACACGUAGGAACCUGUCUUUCAGAGGGGGACAACCAAGGGAAACUUUGGCUAAUACCGCAUAAUCUCGAAAGAGCAAAGCUGCCCGCAAGGGUGGCACUGAAAGAGGGGCCUGCGUCCGAUUAGCUAGUUGGUAGGGUAAAAGCCUACCAAGGCGAUGAUCGGGAACUGGUCUGAGAGGACGACCAGUCCCACUGGGACUGGGACACGUCCCAGCCUCCUACGGGAGGCAGCAGUGGGGAAUAUUGGACAAUGGGGGCAACCCUGAUCCAGCGAUGCCGCGUGGGUGAAGAAGGCCUUCGGGUUGUAAAGCCCUUUAGACUGGGAAGAAGGUUACAGGCUGAAUAAUCCUGUAGCUUGACGGUACCGUAAGAAUAAGCACCGGCUAACUACGUGCCAGCAGCCGCCGUAA
This 504-nucleotide ribosomal RNA is filed under the name uncultured bacterium. Its description in RNAcentral is "partial 16S ribosomal RNA". It matches the Rfam family "Bacterial small subunit ribosomal RNA", at positions 30 to 523 of the family's 1533-position model. The record is from RNAcentral.